UCACGAAAGUGAGCUGUACUAGAAGUCGCCGCGCUGACCGCAAGGAGGCAGGCGCCCAAGGUAUGACUACAUGAUUGGGGUG
Molecule: ribosomal RNA, 82 nt
Filed under: uncultured bacterium
Lineage: Bacteria
Description: partial 16S ribosomal RNA
Source: RNAcentral